This is a long non-coding RNA of Ursus thibetanus thibetanus, 4107 nucleotides long. The record is from Ensembl. NCBI's taxonomy places the organism in Eukaryota, Metazoa, Chordata, Mammalia, Carnivora, Ursidae.
GGCGAUUUGCGCCACCUAUCCUGAGUUCCACACGGCGAGGCAGUGAUUCUAGGGUUAGGUGAUGAUUCUAACAACUUCUGUUUUUGCAUAUCAGCCUUCACUACGGGAUUUUUUUGGUUUUUGUCAAUUCAUUGAGAUUUUGGAAGACUGGCAUCAGGAAGUGUUUCUGACGAUUACAAAAUACGACAAGCCACAGCAACUCUGAAACCAUGCAGCGAGCAAAAAGGCAACUGAGUGCUGUGUUGCCCAAGGUGCCCAGGUCGAUACAAGGACUCUUCACUGAAAUAAGGACCAUGGGAGGAGAAACAGAGCUAAUCGAGUGGAAACGUCAAUGGGGAAAUCCAGGUCAACUAUAAUUCCCAUCAUGACUCAGCGGCAUGAAGACUCUGACUAUGGCGACCUAGAACUGACCUCAGGGAGAAAUCAGUCAAAACAGGAUCAUUCGUUUCCAGGAUUCUGGCACAACAAAGAUGCACUUGUAGAGGACACAGAACAGAAGAUGUGUGAUAGAAGAACCCUACAUUUCCGAGUUAAUCUCUUUUCCCCUACAAAUUUGUAGUAACAGGAGGAAUCGAAGUGAUUAACACAAUAGAAAGCACAUUAUUUGCAGGGCUCUUCUCUCCUGAAACUGCAUGCCUUGGCUCAGUAUAAGAGGUAAGAGGGACUCAUCUGGCAGAACUACACAGACACGAGGAAGUGAUGCAAUCAGCAUCAUGUUCACACAUGUGUGACAGCACUGUAAUUUCUGCCUUUGGUUAUAAACGGCCAUGAUUGGUGAUAAAGAUGUCUCAUUUGGGAAUAAACGUGGAAUGUUUUUAUUUUCCAAUUAUUGCCAACAACUAUUUCUUUUUUAAUGCCCUUCAUGCUGGGUUUGCAGGACUGUUGGUAAAGACAUAUUCUUUCUUUUUUUUAAUUUUUAAUUUUAGAUAGUUAACAUACAGUACAAUAUUGGUUUCUGGAGCAGAAUCCAGUGAUUCAUCACUUACAUACAACACCCAGUUCUCAUCAUAACAAGCAUCCUCCUUAAUCCAUCCAGCCCGCCUAGAUGUCCAUCACCCAUCUAGCCCAUCCCCCUUCCCUCCAUCAAACCUCAGUUUGCUCUCUAUCGUUAAGAGUCUUUUAUGGUUUUUUUCCCUCUCUCCUUUUUGUCUUUUCCCCCUUCUCAUAUGUUCAUCUCUUCUUUCUUAAAUGCCACAUAUGAGUGAGAUCAUAUGGUAUUUGUCUUUCUCUGACUGAGUUAUUUCACUUAGCAUAAUACACUCUAGCUCCAUCCAUGUUGUUGCAAAUGGCAAGAUUUCAUUCUUUUUGAUGGCUAAAUCGUAUUCCUUUGUGUGUGUGUGUGUGUGUGUGUGUGUGUGUGUGUGUGUGUGUGUGUAUCUCACAUCCUCUUUAUCCAUUCGUCAGUUGAUGGACAUCUGGGCUCUCUCCAUAGCUUGGCUAUUGUUGAUAAUGCUGCUAUGAGCAUCAGGUUGCAAGGACGUAGUCUUUCUCAUGUGACUAUGAUGCUUGAGUACUUACAAAGCAUUCUUAGUGUCACAAAGCUAAUGAUGGAGGAAGAACUGAUGGGAAUAAUGCAAUGGAAUUCAUGCAAAAGCAGUUUAGACUAGGUAAUGCCUUUCAGUCUCCAAAUGAUAACUUUAAAGCCCUGCAGUCAUUGAUUCUGUCUGUCCAACAUUCCUUCCUUCCUUCCUUCCUUCCUUCCUUCCUUCCUUCCUUCCUUCCUUCCUUCCUUCCUUCCUUCCUUCCUCAUAACCAACUUCUGGUCUUUCUGCCUCUCACUUGGCAGGUGUGGGUUUAAGAGCAAGGCUGAGCUUCCCACAGUCCCCCAAUCUAGAUGCAGUGUGGUUCCAGAACUACGCAAAUGGAGAUAAAGCAAUCAUCUCCCUUCUUCUUGGGUAGAAGAAUGAUUUACAAAUUUUGAGGCUCUUAAAAACAUUCCAAAUUUGGGCAUUUUGUAUUAAACAUAUUUUUUUGUUUUUUUAAAUAAUAUUUUUAUUAUAUAAAGAAUUUAUUAUAUAAAAGAAUUUAUUAUAUAAAAGAAUUUAUUAUAUAAAAGAAUAGGGGCGCCUGGGUGGCUCAGUUGGUUAAACGUCUGCCUUCGUUUCAGGUCAUGAUUUCAGGGGUCCUGGGAUCGAGCCCUGAAUCUCACUUCCUGCUCAGUGUGGAGUUGGCUUCUCCCUCUCUUUCUGCCCCUCUCCUCUGCUCGUGCUCUCUUGCUCCCUCUGUCUCUGAAUAAAUAAAUAAAAAUCUUUAAAAAGGACUUUAAAUAUCUAAAAGGAGGGACACCUGGGUGGCUCAGUCAGUUAAGCAUUUGCCUUUGGCUCAGGUUAUAAUCCCAGGGUCCUGAGGUCGAGUUCCACGUCAGGCUCCUUGCUCAGCGGGAAGCCUGCUUCUCCUACUGCCUGCUGCUCCCCCUGCUUGUGCUCACUUGCUCUCUCUCUCUCUGUCAAAUAAAUAAAUAAAAUCUUGAAAAAAAGAAAUAUCUAAAAGGAUAAAAUAUUCUACAAUGAAUCUGGGAGAUUUAAUUUUUUAUCUUAAUUUUUAAAGAAUAUAGAUUUACUGGUUUUCUUAGUACUGAUAAGUACAGUUACUAAUGAAUACCAAAUUGGGAACUGGGAUAUGGCAUGUUUGAUUGCAUGCACAAAUUUAGAGUGGUGUUCCAAAAUUAAAUAGUUAGACUUAUGUAAAUGUAAUGAAAGUAUAGGGUUUCAAAUGAAAUGUAUUGUGCCUGAAGUGUGUAAACACUUGUACAUUUUGUGAAUUAGUUCUAGCAUGAGUUAGGAAAACUGAAAAAUUCCAGAACCUACAGAGAAGUUUCUGCUGUGGAAUUCUGUGUAAAGUUGAAAUGUUUAGCAUUUGACACAUUUUUUUUAUUAGUGAUUAGAUCAGUCAGGGUGUGUGUGUAUGUGUGUGGGGGGGGGACAGAGAAGGAGACAGAGAGACACACAGAGAGACAGAGAGAGCAAGAGUCAGAGAGAAAUUUUAAAGAACUGGCUCAUGGGAUUGUAGGGGCUGGCAAAUCCAAAAUACAUAGGCAAGAUAGAAACUCAGAGAGGAUUUCUCUGUUACAGUCUUGAGGCAGAAUUUCUUUUCUAGGAAACCUCAAUCUUUGCUCUUAAAGCCUUCAACUGUUUGGAUGAGACCCACACACACUAUGGAGGGUAAUCCACUUUACUUAAAGUCAGUUGUAGUAAAUGUUAGUCAUUCUACAAAAUGCCUUCAUAGCAACAUCUAGACUAGGGUUUGCACAAACUGGGUAAUAUAGUCUAACCAAGUUGACACAUAAAAUUAACCAUCACAUGGCCAAUGGACACAUAAACAGAUUCUCAAAAUCACUAAUCAUCAGGGAAAUGCAAAUUAGAAACACAAUGAGGUAUCAGCUCAUACCUUUCAGAAUGGCUAAAAUCAAAAACAUAGAAAAUAACAAGUGCUGACAAGGAUGUGGAGAAAAAGGAGUGCUCACGCACGUCCGUGGGAACGCAAACUGGUGCAGUUUCCACAUACUGUGGAAACCAGUAUGGAGGUCCCUCAAAAAAUUAAAAAUAUAACUACCAUAUGAUCCAGUAAUUCCACUACUGAGUAUUCAUCUAACAAAAAUGACAACACUAAUUUGAAAAGAUAUAUGCACCCCUAUGUUUAUUGUAACAUUAUUUACAAUAGUGAAACUAUGGAAACAGUCCUAGUGCCCACUGAUAGGUAAAUAGAUAAAGAAGUUGUGGUAUAUAUACACAAUAGAAUAUUACUCAACCAUAAAAAGAAUGAAAUCUUUCUAUUUGCAAUGACAUGGGUGGCUCUAGAGAGUAUUGUGCUAAGUGAAACAAGUCAGUCAGAGAAAGGCAAAUACCAUACGAUUUCACUACUAUGUGGAAUUUAAGAAACAAAACAAACAAAGAAGAAAGAGACAAAGCAAAAAAUAGACUCUUUACUAUAGAGAACAAACUGAUGGCUAUCAGAGUGGAGGUGGGUGGGAAGAUAGGUGAAAUAGGUGAAGAUUAAGAGUACACUUUUCAUGAUGAGCAUUGAGUAAUGUAUGGAACUGUUGAAUCACUCUAUUGUACAUAUGAAACUAAUAUAGCAUUAUUAUACUACAUGUUAACUACACUGGAA